CCCCCCUCGCUCUCCGCGCCCCUCCUCGCUCUCCGCGCCGCGCGCCCCCUCGCUCUCCGCGCCCCCCUCGCUCUCCGCGCCCCUCCUCGCUCUCCGCGCCGCGUGCCCCCUCGCUCUCCGCGCCCCGCCCCCCCCGCUCUCCGCGCCGCCCCCUCGCUCUCCGCGCCGCACCGGCCUCCCCCGGGUCCAGCGCAGUCCUGCCAGGAGGGCCUGUCGCGCAUCCGGCGCGGAUGUCCUCCGGGGCCCCGAGCUAAGAGCUCCCAGCACGUCGACUCGUUCCGCCUUCCCAACAACCAGAGUGGGGCGGGUACUGUUAUUGCCCCCUUGCUCGGAGGCGGUCGCGGAGGCCGGACGACAGGCGAGGUCGGGAGCCGGAGGCGGUGCCGGUGCACAUCGCCCUUGGGGUCUGCAGGCAGUUGGCGCGCCCUUGGAUCACACGCUGGGAUGCAGCAGACAUUGGCGAGGUCUCCUUGGGGAGGGGGCGUGUAACUGCCUGCUGAGGAAGAUGGGGCAGCUGGGCCUCAGAGAGGAAACACCAGGAACUCCGGAGAGACCUUCACUGAGUUCUGGCGAAACGAGUGAGUUGACUGAGUCCUCUACAUGCCUGGCGCUGUGUGGAGUGUUUCCCCGCAUCGUCUCAUCCAAUCCUCAGAAAUAAUCGUGUGCAGGAAGUGCCGUUACUUUCCUUUCUUUUACAAAUAAAGAACCAAUGCUCAGAGAGGGCAAGUGAUUUGCCCAAGAUCACACAGCCCACAAGUGUCAGAACCAGGAUCCCAGCCCAGACCCGCAGGCUCUGGCGUCUACCCUUGUAACCCUGGCACCUGAGUCUCCCAAACUCCCUUCUGCUCCGAGUGUUGUGUCAUCCGUGCUCUGUCUUCCUUCCUCUGUGUUCUAAAUGGACUCCCCACUCGCCCUUUUUUUUUUUUUUUAACUAAACCUGUUUCUGUACAAAAGAAACCGUAUAUCAUUAGCA
RNAcentral lists this long non-coding RNA (973 nucleotides) under Equus caballus (horse). Its description in RNAcentral is "lncRNA (ENSECAG00000052646.1)". The record is from RNAcentral. Lineage: Eukaryota; Metazoa; Chordata; Mammalia; Perissodactyla; Equidae.